This 335-nucleotide unclassified non-coding RNA is filed under the name Hevea brasiliensis (rubber tree). Lineage: Eukaryota; Viridiplantae; Streptophyta; Magnoliopsida; Malpighiales; Euphorbiaceae. The record is from RNAcentral.
AAGAGAUACAACAAUGUGCAACUUGAUGGAAAGCCCAUGAAAAUAGAGAUCGUCGGAACAAACAUCUCAACACCCGCUGCUGUGCCCAUGGUUCCAAAUGUUGGCUUUGGGAACCCAAAUACUGGUUUUGGGAACCCAAAUGCUGGCUUUGGAAACCCAAAUGGCUUUCAGAGGAGUGGUCCAGCAAGGGGAGAUUCCAUAGGAGUGCCACGAGGUGGUCGUGGAAGGGGGAGGGGCCGUGGGCGUGGUAGGGGCCGUAGUGAGCGUGAUCCGGUAUCUGCCUCUGAUCUUGAUGCUGAUCUCGAGAAGUACCAUCAGGAAUCGAUGCAGAUUAA